RNAcentral lists this long non-coding RNA (1745 nucleotides) under Mus musculus (house mouse). RNAcentral's name for it is "long non-coding RNA chr9:122167953-122169698". Lineage: Eukaryota; Metazoa; Chordata; Mammalia; Rodentia; Muridae. The record is from RNAcentral.
UACCCAGGAGACAAUCUUCUGUGAGGCAAUGAGGUGAACUCAAGUCUUAACUCUACUUAGAGUGUGUAUGUCUGUCUGACAGAACAAAAAUUAAAAAAAAAAAAAAAAAAAAAAAAAAAGAGGCUCUGUGUAAGUUUCCCCUGCAGGACACAAGGCAGGGUUUCCUUCAAACCUGUGUGGAGAGGAGAAGCGGAGGGCCUGCUGCAGUAGCCACAGUGCACACAGGGGCAGGCAGCAAAGUCAGCACUCUGACGAGGAGGCAGGACAUCCUGAGGUGGUGGUUCAGGAGCUUGGUGGUGAGGUGGCCUCAGGUUUCUCCCAUUUCAUGGCAGCAUUUGGCUCAGCUGUGAAGAGCGGCUGGUAAGAAACUGCUCAGGAAAGGGUAGUGCUUGGAGCCGUCAGUGGCACACUGCUGCCUUCCUGCCACGUGCUGAGCGCGGAGCGCUAGCUUGCCCUCUCCCGCACCGACGACUCCGGACUGAUAGCUAUCUCCUGAGGCAGGCCUCCUCCCUGAUCUUGGGAAGCCCAGAUGCUGGGUUUUCACACGGUGCCCAAGGGAUUGAAAGCAGUGUUUAAGCGGCCUGUGGGGUAGGUGCGGCUGGCCCAGGGUCCUUUCCUCACUCUUCAGCUGCUGCCCUGUUCUGAGGGACAACAGUGCAGCUGAGCAUGUGUCUCAGAGCGGGCAGGGCACAGGCCACCACUUCCUUCAGUGCUCAGUGACUGCUGCUUUAGGUUAGUGUAUAUUACUCAGAACUUCACAGUGUAACCUGACUUUACUAAGUAAAAUGAUACUUAAGCUACUUCCUAGAGCUAGCUAACUGCUUGUGCUUUAAGCUGCAGUCCCAUUCAGUGUGACAUUCACAUAGUUGAGAGCUGUGAGGGGAGACGUGGGUGAAGCCAUAGAGCACAUUUGCUUGAAAUUCUUAAGCAGGGAUCUUCCAAGGGCCAGAAACCAGCGUGGUUCUCAGAGACGGAGCCACGUCUGUGUGAGCCAGGAGAGAUGUCUAUAGGGGCAUUGCAAUAAACUGUCGCAGCUGUUUCCCAAGUAAUGUACAUACUCUUCUGUGGUCACGGCCAGCCUCUGAGCGGCGCCUCUGCACUCACCCGUCUGCGUUUGGUCUCCAGUGGUUUUCUAUUCAGGUGUAUAUACGGUGCUCACUUUAGAUCAGCAGUGUCGGCCAUUUAUGCUGCAGAGCUGUGUCAUAGCCUUAUUAGUUGUGUGUGGUUGGUGACCCUCUGGGUACACAAUGUCUGUUGAGUGCUGUCUUACCCAUUUGUUGACAAGUGGAUGUCUGUGCAUGUGUUGUGUGUCACGGGGUGUCGUCACAGUGUCACGGGUGUCGUCACAGAGGGAAGGAGCAGAACCACCACACCCAUAGUGGACCAAACUACGUCCUUGCUGUAGCCAGGGACUCGUCCCCUAGCCGAGUUACAGUAGUGUAUAAUUAAAUAUUGUGGGAAAGUUAGUCUUGUAUUUUUCUGUGUGUAUAUAUAUAUAAUUAUGUACUUCUGGAAUUCUAUCUGUAUUUAAAGAUGUGACAAUCUUGACACCAAUUUUAAUAGUCAUGAGCCUGAACAAAGAUGUCCUAGAGCCAGAGUUGGUAUGUGCUGAGAACACAAACUUGUCAGCUAAUUGGUCAGAUGCCUCUAGUUCUGACCAGUCUUUUUCCUUGUGUGAACAUUGACAGGUAUGUGACAGAUGGGAAAUAAUCCAAUAAUAAAGUGACAUACUGAUGUUCAGCAAU